GCGGCAGAUGUGUAUAAGAGACAGGUGAGUCAUCGAAUCUUUGAACGCACAUUGCGCCCUUUGGCAUUCCGAAGGGCAUGCCCGUUCGAGCGUCAUUUCACCACUCAAGCCUGGCUUGGUAUUGGGCGACGGAGUUCCUCCGCGCCUCUAAUCGAUCGGCUGGACGGUUCGAAUCUCAGCGUUGUGGUUUCAUCAAAUCGCUGGCGAGGACGACCGGGCGCGCCGUUAAAACUUCACACAAGGUUGACCUCGGAUCGGGUAGGGAUACCCGCUGAACUUAAGCAUAUCAAUAAGCGGAGG
Molecule: unclassified non-coding RNA, 300 nt
Filed under: uncultured Capnodiales
Lineage: Eukaryota; Fungi; Ascomycota; Dothideomycetes; Capnodiales
Description: sequence contains 5.8S rRNA gene, ITS2
Rfam family: 5.8S ribosomal RNA (bases 1-95)
Source: RNAcentral